UACAGAGGAUGCAAGCGUUAUCCGGAAUGAUUGGGCGUAAAGCGUCUGUAGGUGGCUUUUUAAGUCCGCCGUCAAAUCCCCGGGCUUAACCUGGGAAUGGCGUUUGGGACUGGGUCGCUAGAGUGUGGCAGAGGGAGGUGGAAUUCCACGUGUAGCAGUGAAAUGCGUAGAGAUGUGGAGGAACACCGAUGGCGAAGGCAGCCUCCUGGGCCAGCACUGACGCUCAUGCACGAAAGCGUGGGGAGCAAACAGG
RNAcentral lists this ribosomal RNA (253 nucleotides) under uncultured bacterium. RNAcentral's name for it is "partial 16S ribosomal RNA". It matches the Rfam family "Bacterial small subunit ribosomal RNA", at positions 524 to 776 of the family's 1533-position model. The record is from RNAcentral.